AGGCCUAACACAUGCAAGUCGAACGGUAACAGGGAGCUUGCUCCGCUGACGAGUGGCGAACGGGUGAGUAAUGUAUCGGAACGUACCAUUCAGUGGGGGAUAACGUAGCGAAAGUUACGCUAAUACCGCAUAUUCUGUGCGCAGGAAAGCAGGGGAUCGCAAGACCUUGCGCUGAUUGAGCGGCCGAUAUCAGAUUAGCUAGUUGGUGAGGUAAAAGCUCACCAAGGCGACGAUCUGUAGCGGGUCUGAGAGGAUGAUCCGCCACACUGGAACUGAGACACGGUCCAGACUCCUACGGGAGGCAGCAGUGGGGAAUUUUGGACAAUGGGGGUCACCCUGAUCCAGCCAUGCCGCGUGAGUGAAGAAGGCCUUCGGGUUGUAAAGCUCUUUCAGCCGGGAAGAAAAUGCAUGGGUUAAUACCCUGUGCAGAUGACGGUACCGGAAUAAGAAGCACCGGCUAACUACGUGCCAGCAGCCGCGGUAAUACGUAGGGUGCGAGCGUUAAUCGGAAUUACUGGGCGUAAAGCGUGCGCAGGCGGUUUUGUAAGACAGGCGUGAAAUCCCCGGGCUUAACCUGGGAACUGCGUUUGUGACUGCAAGGCUAGAGUACGGCAGAGGGGGGUGGAAUUCCACGUGUAGCAGUGAAAUGCGUAGAGAUGUGGAGGACACGAAUGGCGAAGGCAGCCCCUGGGUCGAUAGUGACGCUCAUGCACGAAAGCGUGGGUAGCAAACAGGAUUAGAUACCCUGGUAGUCCACGCCCUAAACGAUGUCAACUAGGUGUUGGGAGGGUAAAACCUUUUAGUACCGUACGUNACGCGAGAAGUUGACCGCCUGGGGAGUACGGCCGCAAGGUUAANACUCAAAGGAAUUGACGGGAGCCCGCACAAGCGGUGGAUGAUGUGGAUUAAUUCGAUGCAACGCGAAAAACCCUACCUACCCUUGACAUGUCAGGAACUUUCCAGAGAUGGAUUGGUGCCCGAAAGGGAGCCUGAACACAGGUGCUGCAUGGCUGUCGUCAGCUCGUGUCGUGAGAUGUUGGGUUAAGUCCCGCAACGAGCGCAACCCUUGUCGUUAAUUGCCAUCAUUUAGUUGGGCACUUUAACGAGACUGCCGGUGACAAACCGGAGGAAGGUGGGGAUGACGUCAAGUCCUCAUGGCCCUUAUGGGUAGGGCUUCACACGUCAUACAAUGGUCGGUACAAAGGGUCGCCAACCCGCGAGGGGGAGCCAAUCCCAUAAAGCCGAUCGUAGUCCGGAUUGUAGGCUGCAACUCGCCUGCAUGAAGUCGGAAUCGCUAGUAAUCGUGGAUCAGCAUGUCACGGUGAAUACGUUCCCGGGUCUUGUACACACCGCCCGUC
RNAcentral lists this ribosomal RNA (1358 nucleotides) under uncultured beta proteobacterium. RNAcentral's name for it is "bacterial SSU rRNA". It matches the Rfam family "Bacterial small subunit ribosomal RNA", at positions 44 to 1398 of the family's 1533-position model. The record is from RNAcentral. Lineage: Bacteria; Pseudomonadati; Pseudomonadota; Betaproteobacteria.